Long non-coding RNA from Cyprinus carpio carpio, 1311 nucleotides. NCBI's taxonomy places the organism in Eukaryota, Metazoa, Chordata, Actinopteri, Cypriniformes, Cyprinidae. The record is from Ensembl.
GGGAAAUCUGCAGCAGGUGUGUCCAAUGAUGUGGCGAUUGCAGACAGGGCAGUUCAUGGGUAUAAAGAGGGCAUCGAGGAUACAGGAAGGUGUGUUGUUUUUGGCCUCCCAAGGAACGCCACGAGUGGGACGGAGUGUUUGGGCGCUGGAGUAGGGCGAAGCAGAUGAGAGUAAUUGUGGAGUCGCUAAGCGAAUUGGAGGAUUUGAAAACGGCCACUGGAACAGGUUUGCCAAAGUGAAGUUGAUGGAGAGAAGUCGUACUCACUCGUGUCUGUUGUACGAAGGUGCCGUAGAGAAAUAGUGACAUUGUGGAACAACGACGACCUUUCUGGGCGUCUGCACGAAGCUGGGGAGAGAAAGAGAGCGGGAGGAGACCAGUAUUACGAAGACUGUGAGUACAUUGGAUUGCUUAGAUUGUUGUGUAUAUCUGGAUGAGAAAGAGAGCGGGAGAGGACCAGUAUCACGAAGAUUCUUGUUGAGCGGCCCCAUCGUUGGAGGACGAGACGAGUGGGUGAGCCGAAGUAGAGCGUGGGUGAAUGGAUGUUAUUUGGCUGUGGCCACACCGUAAAGUUUGGAACACUUACCGUGACAGCGACUGCAAAUUCCUCCAGGACGAAAUCCGACCGGGUGUGGAGUACCGACCUUAAAAAUCACUGAAGUGUGUGUAGUGCAGUGGGUGAGUCUGUCUUUGACGUGUGUGCACUAAAGCUUUGCAGUGCUGUGCCGUGUCCCUGUUGUCUGUACUUGCCCUCCAGGCCGAGAAAGGUUCCUGUUGGAAAGAACGUAGGCUGCCGUGGCGGUGCCCACCUAUUCCACCUACGCCCGCCUAUAACUCCGUUCUCUGGACCCAGCUUGAAGGGAUUUGUGUGUCGCCUUAUACUUACCUAGGAGGUCAAUGGGAGUGGAGGAGCUGUCCAGACGCUGGAGAAGAGAAGGGCGCCACGGGAAAUCAAGCCGCUAAGGAAGGACUUAGGAUUAGUCAGGAGACUGGUAGAAGUUCUGGGAAAGGACGAAAGAGCCCUUUGCCCCCCCCUCCCCUUGUGAUUACUUACCAAAGACCUCCAGAGUUCUCAGGCUCAGUUCCCUCCUGCCAAGAGACGAAGAUCAAAAUUUUAGAUUCCCCUUUUCUCCUUUCCUAGAUUACCUUUUUAAAUAAUUUAAAUAAAGUUGUUUUAAAUUACCCUUAACUUAUCUUGUGUGUCUGGUCCUUGGGGUGAUCUUGGGACCUCCUCGAGGUGGAAGUCGGGAAGGGGCGUGACUCGCAACACCUGUGGUCCGCUCCGACCUGUGACAAUAUGACAACUAUUUUCA